GACGAACGCUGGCGGCGUGCUUAACACAUGCAAGUCGAACGGAAAGGCCCUGCGUUUGUGGGGUGCUCGAGUGGCGAACGGGUGAGUAACACGUGAGUAACCUGCCCUUGACUUUGGGAGAACUUCAGGAAACUGGGGCUAAUACCGGAGAGGAGCUCCUGCUGCAUGGGGGGGGUUGGAAAGUGUCGGCGGUUGGGGAUGGACUCGCGGCUUAUCAGCUUGUUGGUGGGGUAGUGGCUUACAAAGGCUUUGACGGGUAGCCGGCCUGAGAGGGUGACCGGCCACAUUGGGACUGAGGUACGGCCCAGUCUCCUACGGGACGCAGCAGUGGGGAAUCUUGCGCAGUGGCCGGACGCCUGAUGCAGCAACGCCGCGUGCGGGAUGACCGCCUUCGGGUUGUAAACCGCUUUCGCCUGUGACGAAGCGUGAGUGACGGUAAUGGGUAAAGAAGCACCGGCUAACUACGCG
RNAcentral lists this ribosomal RNA (468 nucleotides) under uncultured bacterium. RNAcentral's name for it is "partial 16S ribosomal RNA". It matches the Rfam family "Bacterial small subunit ribosomal RNA", at positions 28 to 507 of the family's 1533-position model. The record is from RNAcentral.